GGAUGUGAAAGAGAUCUGGCUGUGGCAUCUGUAACACCAUUGACCACCAAGGGUUGAUUUGGCUGAUCUGACUGCCUAGGCAGUUGUCACCUUCCUCCUUCACCGCUCCAUGUGUGUCCCUCCCGAAGCUGAGCUUGGUCUAAGAAGAUGACCUUCCCCAGUAGAGGAGAGGACCAGAGAAGACUUUUAUUCCGUCAAGGGCAUCCGAGUAGCUGCACUCCCCGGCUAGAACCUUCAAACAAGCUCUCAAGAACAUUUGUCGGAGAAUGUAGUAGAGUCAAACUUCCAAGACUCCAAAUGAGGGGCUGCACAUGGCAGUCUGACUUUGUAA
Molecule: small nuclear RNA, 331 nt
Filed under: Neogale vison (American mink)
Lineage: Eukaryota; Metazoa; Chordata; Mammalia; Carnivora; Mustelidae
Description: Neovison vison (American mink) 7SK RNA (ENSNVIG00000020213.1)
Rfam family: 7SK RNA
About the family: 7SK was discovered as an abundant small nuclear RNA in the mid-70s but a possible function has only recently been suggested.
Source: Rfam by way of RNAcentral